UGUAAACAUCCCCGACUGGAAGCUGUAUGUCACAUUCUAGCUUUCAGUCAGAUGUUUGCUGC
This 62-nucleotide microRNA precursor is filed under the name Microcaecilia unicolor. RNAcentral describes it as "Mun-Mir-30-P1a_pre stem-loop". It matches the Rfam family "mir-30 microRNA precursor family", at positions 9 to 69 of the family's 77-position model. Rfam says of the family: This family consists of the mammalian microRNA (miRNA) precursor mir-30a. Animal miRNAs are transcribed as ~70nt precursors and subsequently processed by the Dicer enzyme to give a ~22nt product. Lineage: Eukaryota; Metazoa; Chordata; Amphibia; Gymnophiona; Siphonopidae. The record is from RNAcentral.